This 892-nucleotide ribosomal RNA is filed under the name Pseudopestalotiopsis theae. RNAcentral's name for it is "LSU rRNA". It matches the Rfam family "Eukaryotic large subunit ribosomal RNA", at positions 36 to 954 of the family's 3401-position model. The record is from RNAcentral. Lineage: Eukaryota; Fungi; Ascomycota; Sordariomycetes; Amphisphaeriales; Sporocadaceae.
AAGCAUAUCAAUAAGCGGAGGAAAAGAAACCAACAGGGAUUGCCUUAGUAACGGCGAGUGAAGCGGCAACAGCUCAAAUUUGAAAUCUGGCCCUUGGGUCCGAAUUGUAAUUUGUAGAGGAUGAUUUUGGUGCGGUAUCUUCCGAGUUCCUUGGAACAGGACGCCUUAGAGGGUGAGAGCCCCGUACGGUUGAAUGCCUAGCCUCUGUAAAUCUCCUUCGACGAGUCGAGUAGUUUGGGAAUGCUGCUCUAAAUGGGAGGUAAAUUUCUUCUAAAGCUAAAUAUUGGCCAGAGACCGAUAGCGCACAAGUAGAGUGAUCGAAAGAUGAAAAGCACUUUGAAAAGAGGGUUAAAUAGCACGUGAAAUUGUUGAAAGGGAAGGAUUUGUGACCAGACUUUUUCUGGGCGGAUCAUCCGGGGUUCUCUCCGGUGCACUUUGCCCAGUAAAGGCCAGCAUCGGUUUUCGGCGGGGGAUAAAAGCAGUAGGAAUGUGGCUCUCUACGGGGAGUGUUAUAGCCUAUUGUAUAAUACCCUGCUGGGGACCGAGGUACGCGCUUCUGCAAGGAUGCUGGCGUAAUGGUUAUCAAUCACCCGUCUUGAAACACGGACCAAGGAGUCGAACAUUUGUGCGAGUGUUUGGGUGUUAAACCCUCACGCGUAAUGAAAGUGAACGGAGGUGAGAGCCCUUACGGGUGCAUCAUCGACCGAUCCUGAAGUUUUCGGAUGGAUUUGAGUAAGAGCAUAACUGUUCGGACCCGAAAGAUGGUGAACUAUGCGUGGAUAGGGUGAAGCCAGAGGAAACUCUGGUGGAGGCUCGCAGCGGUUCUGACGUGCAAAUCGAUCGUCAAAUCUGCGCAUGGGGCGAAAGACUAAUCGAACCAUCUAGUAGCUGG